This 497-nucleotide ribosomal RNA is filed under the name uncultured bacterium. RNAcentral's name for it is "partial 16S ribosomal RNA". It matches the Rfam family "Bacterial small subunit ribosomal RNA", at positions 28 to 507 of the family's 1533-position model. The record is from RNAcentral.
GAUGAACGCUGGCGGCGUGCCUAAUACAUGCAAGUCGAGCGAACGGACGAGAAGCUUGCUUCUCUGAUGUUAGCGGCGGACGGGUGAGUAACACGUGGAUAACCUACCUCUAAGACUGGGAUAACUUCGGGAAACCGGCGCUAAUACCGGAUGAUAUUUUGAACCGCAUGGUUCAAAAGUGAAAGACGGUCUUGCUGUCACUUAUAGAUGGAUCCGCGCUGCAUUAGCUAGUUGGUAAGGUAACGGCUUACCAAGGCAACGAUGCAUAGCCGACCUGAGAGGGUGAUCGGCCACACUGGAACUGAGACACGGUCCAGACUCCUACGGGAGGCAGCAGUAGGGAAUCUUCCGCAAUGGGCGAAAGCCUGACGGAGCAACGCCGCGUGAGUGAUGAAGGUCUUCGGAUCGUAAAACUCUGUUAUUAGGGAAGAACAUAUGUGUAAGUAACUGUGCACAUCUUGACGGUACCUAAUCAGAAAGCCCCGGCUAACUACGUG